UGGGGAAUAUUGCACAAUGGGCGCAAGCCUGAUGCAGCCAUGCCGCGUGUAUGAAGAAGGCCUUCGGGUUGUAAAGUACUUUCAGCGGGGAGGAAGGCGAUAAGGUUAAUAACCUUGUCGAUUGACGUUACCCGCAGAAGAAGCACCGGCUAACUCCGUGCCAGCAGCCGCGGUAAUACGGAGGGUGCAAGCGUUAAUCGGAAUUACUGGGCGUAAAGCGCACGCAGGCGGUCUGUCAAGUCGGAUGUGAAAUCCCCGGGCUCAACCUGGGAACUGCAUUCGAAACUGGCAGGCUAGAGUAUUGUAGAGGGGGGUAGAAUUCCAGGUGUAGCGGUGAAAUGCGUAGAGAUCUGGAGGAAUACCGGUGGCGAAGGCGGCCCCCUGGACAAAGACUGACGCUCAGGUGCGAAAGCGUGGGGAGCAAACA
Molecule: ribosomal RNA, 427 nt
Filed under: uncultured bacterium
Lineage: Bacteria
Description: partial 16S ribosomal RNA
Rfam family: Bacterial small subunit ribosomal RNA
Source: RNAcentral